RNAcentral lists this small RNA (152 nucleotides) under Limosilactobacillus reuteri SD2112. Its description in RNAcentral is "Lactobacillus reuteri SD2112 non-coding RNA". It matches the Rfam family "Bacterial large subunit ribosomal RNA", at positions 13 to 163 of the family's 2925-position model. Lineage: Bacteria; Bacillati; Bacillota; Bacilli; Lactobacillales; Lactobacillaceae. The record is from RNAcentral.
AAGGGCGCAUGGUGAAUGCCUUGGUACUAGGAGCCGAUGAAGGACGGGACUAACGCCGAUAUGCUUCGGAGAGCGGUAAGUACGCUUUGAUCCGGAGAUUUCCGAAUGGGGCAACCCAAUCAGCUUAGUCGCUGAUUACUUGACUAGUGAAU